CGUUUUUGGUGACGAAAAAACACAACUAUCUGCGCCCUCCCGCCGCGGACACGAGCAGCAGGCUGGGUUGAGUCUCCAUGGUUCUCAUGAUGCGUUUAGGUUCCUGUUUCUUUCGGAAAUUCCAAUUUGGCUGUGUAAUUAUAUUAUUGGCAUUAUUACUAUUAGUUAUUUUUAGUCAGUCGGGUGACAACACGAUGACAGGGGGAGCUUCACAAGCGCCCAGUGACUCUGCCGCCCAGGCCAAAGCUUCAGGGAAGAAGAAGAAAGGAGGAUCCGUUGUGUACAGAGCUGUGGCCGCCUCCCAGGACCGCAAAGGUCUUUUCUACUACGCCAUAAAGCAGGCGCUGACCUUCCAGGGCUACGAUGUGGAUCAGCACGGCUUCCUCAUCAAACGCGCCAUUAAUAUGCUGGUAAAAAGCCCAAGUAGGUGUUAAGGGAAACUGCACUGGAAGAAGUGCCCUCCGCUAAGCCAAGUAGGCCGCUGGUUCCUCUGAAUCAGCGUCCAAGAAGAAAGCGUUAGCUCGGAGAAGAUGCUUAAGAAGCUCAAAACGCUCUUUUAAGAGCCACCAAACUGUACACUACAGGGCUGAUUUCAUUUUCAAAUGAAGAAUGAAUAAAAUUAAUACACACAUCACCCCUUCAGACCUCAUCAACUUAAUAUAAAUGGCUGUUUUGCUUCCAGAUACCAAGUGAUUUAAGACAAAGAGGUCAGCAGCAAACAGACAGAGCACAGUCUGCAGGAUCCAGCUUUCUGUCUAUAAAAAGUGAUCACUCCAGACAUUCUCCCCCAGUUUUCAGGUAUAUAUUUGGAUCCUCGGACACGAGGUAAGAGAUUGUUUUUACUGUAAAUUGAGCUAAAGAUGGAGAUUUAGGGUUUUUGGGUUUAUAGAUUCUCAGGAUAAAAUAAUUAAUUCAUCCGGAUUUGCCAACAUGAACACGGGUGUUUCUAUUUCACUGAUUAAUAUGUGUUUAUAUUAAGCACCUUCUAGAUGUUGGAAUUUUUGUAUUUGGUACAAAACUUAUUUUCAGAAAAUAAACUGUCACAAAGGGAAUUUGCUGCAGUAGCUAAAAGAAGACCAGAAAUGAAAGACAGAAGACAAACUACUAACAACUCAGAACCACAAACAUAGCACAGAAAUAUAGAUUUUUCUGGAGGUCAGAACUGGUAUUAAACUUUUUCAUUUGGGACAUUACCGUGUUUGUAAUAAUCUGAAAUGUUUUUGGUUGAUACCCAUAGAGAUACGAAGAGGAGUAAUGUUUGUCUGGACAGCAGGUGGCCUUUGUUUUAGGAUGUCUUAAAGGAUCCGGUCUCUGCCAGUGCAUCUCCUCAUACAGUGCACUUCAUCAGGAGACUUAGAGUAGCUGUGUUGUGGCUGCCAUCAGCAGCUGUUAUUGAGUUUAAGGUAAUUUCAUGGUUUUAAGUUACAAUAAAUACAUUAAAAAUAUUUUAUUUUUAAUAAAUCAAUUAUAAUGUAUACAUUGUUGGUCUUAAAAAAAAACCCAUUUAAAGGUUCUACAAAAUGUUUCCAGGGUGGAACCAAUGUUCAGUCUGUUGUUCAGGGUUGAUGAUAAUUCCAGUUACACGCCACACUCGGUAGAGGGCAGCAGCAUGCUUUCCUUUCUCAAUAGGUGGUACAGAUUUGGAGAAGGAUGCAGUGAAGUUUUUCAGCUGUGGGUACAGAGUGUGCGCUGCAAGAUAUGUUUUCGUUAACCCCUUCAAGUUAAAAAUAAGAUGCUUAUGUGUCACAGAACUGUUGACUUUAUGUUAGUCACGUGUAAUACAGAAUGUGUCAACAUUUUGUAAAGGUCAAAUUGUGAAUGUUUUUGUAUUGUUGAAUAAUAUACUUUAUUGUUUACUGUCUAUGAGAACGACUUACUUUGAAAAUUGAUUAUUUUAUGUUGUUUGUACAGUUCUCACAGCAUUGGUUGUGGCACCUGUGUCCAAUACAUGCCAGUAAAAAUAAAGAACGCCUCAUGUCCGUUUUUCAACUUGGAGGGAGUUACAUGUGUGGAAAGUAAGACUAAAGAUCUGAUUAAAUAAUUUCUGAAAACUG
This is a long non-coding RNA of Astatotilapia calliptera (eastern happy), 2054 nucleotides long. The record is from Ensembl. NCBI's taxonomy places the organism in Eukaryota, Metazoa, Chordata, Actinopteri, Cichliformes, Cichlidae.